RNAcentral lists this ribosomal RNA (233 nucleotides) under uncultured bacterium. RNAcentral describes it as "partial 16S ribosomal RNA". It matches the Rfam family "Bacterial small subunit ribosomal RNA", at positions 103 to 334 of the family's 1533-position model. The record is from RNAcentral.
CGGGUGAGUAACGCGUGAGGAACCUGCCUCAAAGAGGGGGGAAACAGUUGGAAACGACUGCUAAUACCGCAUAAGCCCACAGCUCGGCAUCGAGCAGAGGGAAAAGGAGCAAUCCGCUUUGAGAUGGCCUCGCGUCCGAUUAGCUAGUUGGUGAGGUAACGGCCCACCAAGGCGACGAUCGGUAGCCGGACUGAGAGGUUGAACGGCCACAUUGGGACUGAGACACGGCCCAG